RNAcentral lists this ribosomal RNA (158 nucleotides) under Ceratocystis cercfabiensis. RNAcentral's name for it is "5.8S ribosomal RNA". It matches the Rfam family "5.8S ribosomal RNA". Rfam says of the family: 5.8S ribosomal RNA (5.8S rRNA) is a component of the large subunit of the eukaryotic ribosome. It is transcribed by RNA polymerase I as part of the 45S precursor that also contains 18S and 28S rRNA. Lineage: Eukaryota; Fungi; Ascomycota; Sordariomycetes; Microascales; Ceratocystidaceae. The record is from RNAcentral.
AAACUUUCAACAACGGAUCUCUUGGCUCUAGCAUCGAUGAAGAACGCAGCGAAAUGCGAUAAGUAAUGUGAAUUGCAGAAUUCAGUGAAUCAUCGAAUCUUUGGACGCACAUUGCGCCUGGCAGUAUUCUGCCAGGCAUGCCUGUCCGAGCGUCAUUU